CUGACAGUGAGUGGCUGGCGGGGGUUGGUGUGGGGUAUGACUGAGGUAUUGGACCUCAGGUCUGUGUGUCCGCCUGUAGUUAAACCACCAGCAGCAGGAAUAUUUAUACAAGUGGCGGCAAUUAGGUUGUGAUUGAGAGCUGUGUUGGUGGAUCAUAUUACAGGCGGAUGAUGGACCUGACAUGUGGGUCUGUAACAGGAUCUACAUUCAUGGCCAGAUUUGACCUUAAUCAUUCAUACAUGCUCAACUGUGGGCGCAAGAAGAGCGAUGUGACACUAUAUGUUGGGCGUCAAUGUGUACCGACCCUGCCGGCUUCCCAUAAAGCUGACUGAGCGGAAUGGACACACGAAGGGUGACCUUUGACCCCUGCUUCCCCCUCAACCUGCACUCACCAUGACAACGCCUGAAAGAAGCCAUCUCCACUUCCUCGCCCUUUCUCUCUCUCACACUUUCCCUGCUUCUGGGGCUUAUUGUCGCCAUGAAAGUAGUGUUUCCUUUCCACUAAAUGUCAGACUGACCUUGUGUUCUCUGUCCAACAGGAAGGCCCGGCCAUGUACUGUAGGUUCAUGCUCAGUGUUUGACGUUGUUCACUUACAUUGGGCAUUCUUUGUUCUAUUUGAUUUCCUAGAAAAGUUCUUCUUAAGCCAUCCCUGCUUUGUUGUUUAAAGCUUUAUUGUCUUUAUAAGUAAAGAGGCUGAACACAGAUUACAUUAGAUUUAAACUCACAAGGUUUCAAUUAGAUUGUAUUUGUUUCAGCAUAACGCUAUUAGGAUGCCACAGUGAUGAUAUUUGAGUUUGACAGUAUUGACCUUUCCAGUAUAAGCUUCUCUCUUUCUGUCUACAGUAUGUCCCUCCUUCUGCAUCCCUCUCUUCUGAUCUUUCUAAUUCACCCACACAGUAGUUAGUGAAGUGACAGUAUGGUUAUAUUCACAUGAAAAUACCUAUUAGGUAGAAUCUGUGCAUGAAAAUGGUGGACAAUUCUGUACAAGGUUGUUUAAAGAACCUAAUUUGUAAAGGAUCAGCUCAGGACAUCUUAUCUACAAACCGUUUCAACAAUGUCCCAUCUUGGUCACAAUUCUUUUUGAAUUGAUCAGAUUUUAUGGCUCAUUAUUUGUUCAUUGUUAAAUUUGCCAGUUCAUUGCCAGAUGUUUUGUUACACCAGAUGUUUUGUUACACAAAAUCAUCUUGGAAAUAGUGAUUGGCAACUGUGGGAGGCACAAGAAAUACUUUGCAGGUGAUUGGAUUAACCUGUCUAUCAUGAGCGAACUUAACUAAUCUGGUCAACGAACCAUAUAACUUUGUCAAACUCUGACCAAAUCCAGUCAGGAGAAACAUCUUUUCCAUCGAGUAGCCUUCAGUCCUGUUCUUUACUUUUCUUUCAAUAAAGAAUGCGCUCCAGUUCUUAUAUAACUGAUGUUAGCAGCAUCUUUACGAACCACUACUGGAGCUGCCAUUGUGGUUUAA
Molecule: long non-coding RNA, 1464 nt
Organism: Morone saxatilis (striped sea-bass)
Lineage: Eukaryota; Metazoa; Chordata; Actinopteri; Moronidae
Exons: 2
Source: RefSeq, a predicted model, not a curated record